RNAcentral lists this ribosomal RNA (494 nucleotides) under uncultured bacterium. Its description in RNAcentral is "bacterial SSU rRNA". It matches the Rfam family "Bacterial small subunit ribosomal RNA", at positions 15 to 518 of the family's 1533-position model. The record is from RNAcentral.
GAUCCUGGCUCAGGAUGAACGCUGGCGGCGUGCUUAACACAUGCAAGUCGAACGGACUUUACAUGAAGCCUAGCGAAUGUAAAGUUAGUGGCGGACGGGUGAGUAACGCGUGGGUAACCUGCCGUAUGCCGGGGGACAACAGUUGGAAACGACUGCUAAUACCGCAUAAGCGCACAGAUAGGCAUCUAUCAGUGUGAAAAAACUCCGGUGGCAUACGAUGGACCCGCGUCUGAUUAGGCAGUUGGCGGUGUAACGGACCACCAAACCGACGAUCAGUAGCCGGCCUGAGAGGGUGAACGGCCACAUUGGGACUGAGACACGGCCCAAACUCCUACGGGAGGCAGCAGUGGGGAAUAUUGCACAAUGGGGGAAACCCUGAUGCAAGCGACGCCGCGUGAGUGAAGAAGUAUUUCGGUAUGUAAAGCUCUAUCAGCAGGAAAGAAAAUGACGGUACCUGACUAAGAAGCCCCGGCUAACUACGUGCCAGCAGCUGC